RNAcentral lists this ribosomal RNA (497 nucleotides) under uncultured bacterium. RNAcentral's name for it is "partial 16S ribosomal RNA". It matches the Rfam family "Bacterial small subunit ribosomal RNA", at positions 28 to 507 of the family's 1533-position model. The record is from RNAcentral.
GAUGAACGCUGGCGGCGUGCCUAAUACAUGCAAGUCGAGCGAACGGACGAGAAGCUUGCUUCUCGGAUGGUAGCGGCGGGCGGGUGAGUAACAUGUGGAUAACCUACCUAUAAGACUGGGAUAACUUCGGGAAACCGUAGCUGAUACCGGAUAAUAUUUUGAACCGCAUGGUUCAAAAGUGAAAGACGGUCUUGCUGUCACUUAUAGAUGUAUCCGCGCUGCAUUAGCUAGUUGGUAAGGUAACGGCUUACCAAGGCAACGAUGCCUAGCCGACCUGAGAGGGUGAUCGGCCCCACUGGAACUGAGCCACGGUCCAGAGUCCUACGGGCGGCAGCAGUAGGGAAUGUUGCGAAAUGGGCGAAAGCCUGACGGAGCAACGCAGCGCGAGUGAUGAAGGUCCUCGGAUCGUAAAACUCUGUUAUGAGGGAAGAACAUAUGCGUCAGUAACUGUGCACAUCUUGACGGUACCUAAACAGAAAGCAACGGCUAACUACGUG